AAGAAAUGCACCUUCCCAGGCAAACAGGGAUCAGCUAGAAGACAUGUCGGGAAGCUGCUCGGAUUCUCCCACAACGUAAUCUAGAAAUUAUAAAAACUACUACUGAAGAUACUGUCUCUCCUUAUGGAGUUGCCUUCUUUGUGUCUGCACCUGUCAAGAUCCCACUCUGGAACAGAAGAUCAGAGCAAAUGGGGGCUGAGGAGAACAAAAGCUGCCCCAAACCUUUGACCUAAAUUUAACAUAAAGCCAAAUGAAACCUUAGAGGUUUGUAGAUGUUCAUAAAACAUUUCCACCUCCUGGUCCCCUUUCCUUUAUCUUUGGUUUCUUUAUACUUCUACAUUUAACUGUUUCUAAUUGAAAGUCUAA
RNAcentral lists this long non-coding RNA (366 nucleotides) under Junco hyemalis (dark-eyed junco). RNAcentral's name for it is "lncRNA (ENSJHYG00000013119.1)". The record is from RNAcentral. Lineage: Eukaryota; Metazoa; Chordata; Aves; Passeriformes; Passerellidae.